This 1359-nucleotide ribosomal RNA is filed under the name uncultured bacterium. RNAcentral describes it as "bacterial SSU rRNA". It matches the Rfam family "Bacterial small subunit ribosomal RNA", at positions 28 to 1381 of the family's 1533-position model. The record is from RNAcentral.
GAUGAACGCUAGCUACAGGCUUAACACAUGCAAGUCGAGGGGCAGCAUUUCAGUUUGCUUGCAAACUGGAGAUGGCGACCGGCGCACGGGUGAGUAACACGUAUCCAACCUGCCGAUAACUCGGGGAUAGCCUUUCGAAAGAAAGAUUAAUACCCGAUGGCAUAAUUAGACCGCAUGGUCUUAUUAUUAAAGAAUUUCGGUUAUCGAUGGGGAUGCGUUCCAUUAGGCAGUUGGUGAGGUAACGGCUCACCAAACCUUCGAUGGAUAGGGGUUCUGAGAGGAAGGUCCCCCACAUUGGAACUGAGACACGGUCCAAACUCCUACGGGAGGCAGCAGUGAGGAAUAUUGGUCAAUGGGCGCAGGCCUGAACCAGCCAAGUAGCGUGAAGGAUGACUGCCCUAUGGGUUGUAAACUUCUUUUAUAUGGGAAUAAAGUUUUCCGCGUGUGGAAUUUUGUAUGUACCAUAUGAAUAAGGAUCGGCUAACUCCGUGCCAGCAGCCGCGGUAAUACGGAGGAUCCGAGCGUUAUCCGGAUUUAUUGGGUUUAAAGGGAGCGUAGGUGGACAGUUAAGUCAGUUGUGAAAGUUUGCGGCUCAACCGUAAAAUUGCAGUUGAUACUGGCUGUCUUGAGUACAGUAGAGGUGGGCGGAAUUCGUGGUGUAGCGGUGAAAUGCUUAGAUAUCACGAAGAACUCCGAUUGCGAAGGCAGCUCACUGGACUGCAACUGACACUGAUGCUCGAAAGUGUGGGUAUCAAACAGGAUUAGAUACCCUGGUAGUCCACACAGUAAACGAUGAAUACUCGCUGUUUGCGAUAUACAGUAAGCGGCCAAGCGAAAGCAUUAAGUAUUCCACCUGGGGAGUACGCCGGCAACGGUGAAACUCAAAGGAAUUGACGGGGGCCCGCACAAGCGGAGGAACAUGUGGUUUAAUUCGAUGAUACGCGAGGAACCUUACCCGGGCUUAAAUUGCAUUUGAAUAUAUUGGAAACAGUAUAGCCGUAAGGCAAAUGUGAAGGUGCUGCAUGGUUGUCGUCAGCUCGUGCCGUGAGGUGUCGGCUUAAGUGCCAUAACGAGCGCAACCCUUAUCUUUAGUUACUAACAGGUCAUGCUGAGGACUCUAGAGAGACUGCCGUCGUAAGAUGUGAGGAAGGUGGGGAUGACGUCAAAUCAGCACGGCCCUUACGUCCGGGGCUACACACGUGUUACAAUGGGGGGUACAGAAGGCAGCUACCUGGUGACAGGAUGCUAAUCCCAAAAGCCUCUCUCAGUUCGGAUCGAAGUCUGCAACCCGACUUCGUGAAGCUGGAUUCGCUAGUAAUCGCGCAUCAGCCAUGGCGCGGUGAAUACGUUCCCGGGCCU